This 253-nucleotide ribosomal RNA is filed under the name uncultured Rikenellaceae bacterium. RNAcentral describes it as "partial 16S ribosomal RNA". It matches the Rfam family "Bacterial small subunit ribosomal RNA", at positions 524 to 776 of the family's 1533-position model. Lineage: Bacteria; Pseudomonadati; Bacteroidota; Bacteroidia; Bacteroidales; Rikenellaceae. The record is from RNAcentral.
UACGGAGGAUGCGAGCGUUAUCCGGAUUUAUUGGGUUUAAAGGGUGCGUAGGUUGUUUUAUAAGUUAGCGGUGAAAUACCGAUGCUCAACAUCGGGGCUGCCGCUGAUACUGUAGGACUAGAGAUCGGAUGCAGCAGGCGGAAUGUGUAGUGUAGCGGUGAAAUGCAUAGAUAUUACACAGAACACCGGUUGCGAAGGCAGCAUACCGGUGCACAACUGACGCUCAGGCACGAAAGCGUGGGUAUCGAACAGG